This is a long non-coding RNA of Ctenopharyngodon idella (grass carp), 6038 nucleotides long. RefSeq lists it as uncharacterized. The record is from RefSeq and is a predicted model, not a curated record. The transcript is spliced from 3 exons. Lineage: Eukaryota; Metazoa; Chordata; Actinopteri; Cypriniformes; Xenocyprididae.
UACUUUGUAUAUGCAGGUCGCACAUGCGCAUUUAAUUUUUUGCAGUAAUUAGUUUAUCCACAAGGUGGCAACCAUGCCCUGGGGGCGUUGAUUCACAAGGUAGUCGAAGAAAACCUGCAUAAACAGAACAGACCGGAACACAUGCAAGCUACAGCAAAAAUGGAGGCCUGCAUAGACGAGAGAUUGUGCGAAGAGGUUAGAAAGUACCCUUAUUUGUACAACUCUAGCAUGAAAGAAUACAAAGAUGUUUACAUGGUUUGAACUCAUAGAGGUAUUGCAAUUUGUCGCAAUGCGCAUGCGUCGAACGCCUGUGUACGAGUCAAGUGAAGUAUACUUUGCAAGGCUGUGCGUUUGAAAAUGAAGUAUACUUUCUGCUUUAUUCUUAAGAUUUUUUUUUUGCUUGUGAGAUCUGAAAGUGUACAGCUUAAUUAUAUGACAUAGAUGGCAGUGAAGUGGUGGGGUUGUGAAAAUUUUUAAAGUUAAAAAUGCGUCAUGGAAAACCCCCAGUGUAGAGUUUUUUUGGCCACAAUGGAAAGUACUGAGAGUGCUGACAGAAAAGAGCAAGUAGGUCCUCAUGUAGUGGUCUCAUCUUCACCAAGAGGGAAAUAGCUGGUGACCCUCUUCCCAUUUGCAGUGACCCGAAAAAUAGGCCUCGCAAAGCCCUCAGCACCUGGCAGAGGGACUCAAAAAUAAACGGACUGCUUAUGAGCGGUUCCUACAGGGCUGUGGAAAAGCGGUACCCGUUGGACUAAAAUAGAGCAAACUAAUCCCCCAGUUUUCUGCAAGAGCGGGUAUGGCUGCCAUCCCCCCCCAGGGCUACUCAGCAACUCAAAUGCCAAGAAUCUUACUGUGUCUAUGUCCAGAAUAAACUCUCUAGCUCCCCGCAGCAGCUUGGAGAUAACACAAACAAUGUGAGAAAUGUUGAGGCGAGUGCGCUUGGGGUGGGAGCAAGCAAUGGUUUAAGGACCUCUUUGGAAUUUGCGGAGGUGGUGUUUUUUUUUUUUUUUUUUCAGGAUUUUUCAUGGUAUAGUUAAAGUUCGUACAUGCUGGUCUGGGGCGAGGAUGUAGGGCAACAUUGUUUCCCCGAGGCCCAGAUUAUGGUUACUCAGUGAACCUUGUUAGUCACUUAACACCUUUUAGUCAAGCUUGUACUGUCUUGCCUGCAUGCUGUAAAGCAAACCUCUUUGUCUCUUAUCAUUGAGCACAUUUACAUACACCGAUAUGCUGAUAACUCCCAAAAAUCAGCUAAUUAAAUUAACCCGUUGAUCCAGUUUACAUGCAACCCAAUAACCUGGCAACGCAAGUAAACCGUGUUUACAAGACUCUGAAAAAUCUGGUUAUGUCUCGGUAGUGACGUCAAAGCCUAAUCAUUUGUGUAUCUAACUCUGAGUAAUCCAUUUGUUAUGUGAGAUGUGAUAUUAAAUAAAUAAGCAGAAAAUAAGCACCGCUUCUACUUCGGCUGUACGAGAUGAGAACACAUUUUUAUCAUUUUCAGGUCAAGAAAGCUCUGUCUGGAUGUGCAUAAAUCUGCAGUAAAGAUGCUUUCCUGUUACAUAUCACACAUGCGCACUUCUAUAAGCGGAUAGAACGCAGGUUAAUGUAUUUACAUGUCAAGUGUUGUUCCUGGCUGUGGAAAAGCAUCAUCUUUGCUCCCAAUGUCAGUGCGUCAACUAGUCAAACGUCCUAGUCACGUCAGUGCUGACUUGCAUGUUUGUACUGUACAUUUGACCAGCAACUGUUUUGAGAACAAGUCACAAUACGAGACUGGCUUUGCCCAAAAAUGUUUGCUCAAAGAUCAGGAAUCAACUGUUCUGGAAUCAGCAAGGACCCUGCAAACUGUAAGUGAUUUCAUUUCGUAUUUCAUUUUUAAACCAGUAAUGACAGUUAAAUUCAUAAUGAACAGUCCUAGUAUUUUUACUUUAAAGAACGCUCUCUUUAUAAUGGCUGAAGCUGUCGAUCACGCAGCGCGUGGACACUUGCCAAAACUCCCGCUAUAGUGACGCUCUUACACUACGCAAUGAAUCUCUUACUGCAUUUACAUUGUGUUUGCAUUGUUAGUUAUGGUGAAAGCAUUUUGUGAGAGUGCAGAAAUUGCAUUGCAAUGCCGAGAUCACUGCAUUCACAAGAUCAACAGACUGUCAUCUGCUUAAUGCUCAUCACUGCAACCUUCCAUGUGAUUGGAAUGGGUCUAAAUAUAAUGCAAUAAUCAACACUUUUUCACGAUUCGUAAAUUUCAACAGCUGUAAUAGUAAAAAUGUAGUAAAAGUAUUCAAGAUGUAAAUCUUAUUUCAUAUGCAAAGAUGUCAGCCAAUCACAGCAGUGGGAGUUUACAGUGAAGUCUCACAGCAGACACGCCCCUUAAACAGAGCGUUCGAAUUAGAGGGCUAAAAUCAGGGUAGAAAAUAGCCAUUUAUUUCUAAGUGAUGAGAAUUUUUUGAUGUAAAAUUCAUAUCAACAUUAUAAGUGCACCUCAGGAAACAUAAAAUAAUAAUAAUAAUAAUAAAAAAAUCCAGUUCAUGACCCCUUUAUGACCUUACUCCAAUAAAGAAAAACUACAUGCAUUGUUGGCUUAUUAAUUAAAAUCAGGUUAAGAACAUACAUGUACAGUAAACACACUCAUUGUUCUUGAUUUUUUAUGUGUACAGGUGUUGGACAGAUACUCUGCAAGUGUUCAGUGAAAUAUACAUGCAGUUUAAUUUGGAAGGAUUCUUUGUGCUGGCGUAACCCUUCCAGUUGUACUUGCACCACUCUGAGCGGGAUUCGAACCGCCGUUUCCAGCAUGGGAGGCAGGCACACUAACAAAGACUCUAAAGACCGCUGGGUCUAGCGUUAGUCACUAGUGCGCCUCUUGAGGCCAGGAGAGUGAGGUUUACUUGCACAGCUCAAAUGAGCCGCUGCUCCCGGCCCCUUUUCCAGAAGAGGGUGGAGCUUUAACAGCUCGCGCUUCGGUCGCUCAACAACAACAAAGCUGGAGAAUCUCACGCAGCCAAAAUGAUGAACGGUGUUCAGCCUUACAUUGUUCAAACCGGAGUCGACACUGAUGGAGAGACUCAGGAAGAAGUUACAACUUUUAGAAUAAAAUUGGACGUUUCUGAAUGGUUAGUGGAUACAUUUAUGUAGUUGCUGUGGAGUUGAUUCAACUCAUCGACUAGCAUGUGCCGUCAUGUUAAACUUUUGUGCAAAUCCAGUGUUGAAUUGUUCAAAAAUGAAUUACUGUUUUUGCAGUCAUUAAGCUCUCACUCAUCACAGAGGAAUAAUCUGACCUGUGUGGCUGUGUAGGUGAUGUGGCGUGUGAUGCAUGUGAGGUUACCUGAUACUGAUAAUGAAGACAGGGACAUCAUGGCUGGUUGGAAACAGCACAGCCCUGUGUGGGACUGUUUUUUAGUUUAAUUAUGUAAAUGGAAAAAGCAAAGGCAUGAUCACAGCCAAUUAUAUGAUUUGUGGUUAAAUUUAAAGGGCAAAAAAUCCCACAAACCUAAUAGAGCAAAGUGAUCACAGCAAGGAGUACAAAAUUGUUCAUGACUCAAGGUGUGGAAAAAAAGAGUAGCCUCUAUAAUGAAGCCUGUGCUAGCAGUAGCUGACUCUGACCUUGCGUUGCCAAAGAUUUGGGGUUUGGAUGACAAACAUAUAGGCUAAUCAAUACAUAAAACUUAACUUGUUGAGAUUCAACAACAUGUAAAACUUUUAAUGCUGCUCUUGAACUCAAGUUCAUCACUCCAAGUGCUGCACAAAGUUAAUUCAGUGAUUGUGCUGAAGAGGGAAAACGGCAACUCUUUUCUUAUGUUAUUAUUAUGAAAUAGAUCUGUAUCCGCAAAACUAACCAGGGUUAACACGGGAUCAUAUCCAUAUUAUCAGAUCCAUUAUUAUAUAGCAUUAUAAAUGUCCCACAAGUCCUAAAGCACAGCACAGUUUUAGGGUUUCUCAUCAGCCCUUAUCUGCUUACAUUAACAAUCCAAUAAAUUUUUUGGGGUUAUUUUUCCAGUGUUUGGGUAGUUUUUGUGUUACACAGCUCCUGGGUCAGACGUAACAACCCAGCGUUUGGGUAGUUUUUGCGUUACCCUGAUCCUGGGUCAGGCGUAACAACCCAGUGUUUGGGUAGUUUUUGUGUUACCCUGAUCCUGGGUCAGGCGUAACAACCCAGCGUUUGGGUAGGUUUUGUGUUACCCUGAUCCUGGGUCAGACGCAACAACCCAGUGUUUGGGUAGGUUUUGUGUUACCCUGAUCCUGGGUCAGACGCAACAACCCAGUGUUUGGGUAGGUUUUGUGUUACCCUGAUCCUGGGUCAGACGCAACAACCCAGUGUUUGGGUAGGUUUUGUGUUACCCUGAUCCUGGGUCAGACGCAACAACCCAGUGUUUGGGUAGGUUUUGUGUUACCCUGAUCCUGGGUCAGACGCAACAACCCAGUGUUUGGGUAGGUUUUGUGUUACCCUGAUCCUGGGUCAGACGCAACAACCCAGCGUUUGGGUAGGUUUUGUGUUACCCUGAUCCUGGGUCAGACGCAACAACCCAGCGUUUGGGUAGGUUUUGUGUUACCCUGAUCCUGGGUCAGACGCAACAACCCAGCGUUUGGGUAGGUUUUGUGUUACCCUGAUCCUGGGUCAGGCGUAACAACCCAGCUUUUGGGUAGUUUUUGUGUUACCCUGAUCCUGGGUCAGACGUAACAACCCAGCGUUUGGGUAGUUUUUGUGUUACCCAGAUCCUGGGUCAGACGCAAGCACCGCGCUUUCCCUUUGUAAUCACAGCAGCUGUAAAAACACACAUUUUAUUCAAUUAAUCUAUCUAAAGUGCACAAUAAAUAUUUAAUUUCUGAAGCUUUAUUUUUUUCACAUAAAAGUGUGAAAACCGAUGGUCGAACUGAAUUUAGCCAAGGAGCAACAAUGAGGUAUGUCUUUAUUUAUUUAUUUUUAAUGCCAUCUUACGUUUGAAUAACUAAAUUAAUGCUAUGCCUAACUAUUUAAGUGACUAUAUUCUGAUUAUAAACUAAGUAUUACACUGAUGCUCAACACACCAGCAAAUGACAUCUCACCAGAAGUUUUCAAGCUGGCUUAUAUUAAUGCGGAAGUUCUAAAGAACGCUCGUGCAUAUAGCCCAUUGAGGAAACUUUUAUGUCAUAAUAUAAACCUGCCCCAUCUACUUACUGAUGAGGAUCUAGAAACAAUCAAAUAUAUUCUUCUUCUGCUGGGAAAGACAAAUAAUUAGCCUUGUAAAUCACAUAGGAUAUUGAAUUAGUGUUGAUCCAGUGGAACAGAUCUCUAUCUUAUGGUUUUCACUGCCAUCCUUUCAGUGGACAGUAAAACAGAGAUUUUUUAUCCCAAACAGAUGGAGAGGAGAAUUGUGUAUUAAGGCAGGAGCGUGUAGUUCCCAUGUACCAUCAGUGCUGACUGCCAUGCCAGAGUUCCAGUGUAGAGUUUGCUCUGGAUGAUGCCAGAUAAGAUGGUUGUGAUUAAGCUUGUUGGCAUGACCCUACUCCAACAAAUUGGCAUUCCUUCCAGCACUUGAUGAUUGGCCCUCCAUGUGGAUUAUUUUAAGAAUUGCCAUCCUUUGUGGAUGCAUCCCUCCCCCUAUUUAUUUCCUGAAGGACUUGGAAAACAUCUGCAGAUUAAAACAGUUCCUUCCACUUUCCACUGAAUGCUUGUACUUGGGGAACUUGUGAAGACAUCCAAACAGUCCAUUGCAGCUUAUUAAGGGUGGCGUGUGAACACAAAUACAUGGAAAACAUGAAGAUAAGACUUGGAACAUAAAGCUGUUCUUGGUAUGAAUGUGAGAUUGUAACAUUUACACAGUGUGAUUCAAAAAUCAUAGUUCAUGGUUUUUUCAAAGAAAAAAUGGCUCAGUUUAGUAUAAAAAAUAUUAGUAUACAACCGGUAGGGUAAAACUUUACAAUAUUGUCUAAUUUGUUAGUGCAUUAGCUAACAUGAAUUAACAAUACAAUUUACAGUCUUUAUUUCUUUUUUAUUUAUCUUGCUUAAUAAAAUAUAGGCUAAUUGUUUGUUGUGUUUAUGUCAUGAUAACAAACUAUCAUGUAUGUUUCUUGAG